CCCUUAGAUGUUCUGGGCUGCACGCGCGCUACACUGAAGCUAUCAACACGUUUUCCCUCCCUGAGAAGGGCGGGUAACCUUUUGAAUCAGCUUCGUGGUAGGGAUCGGGGCUUGCAAUUGUUCCCCGUGAACCAGGAAUUCCUAGUAGACGCGAGUCAUAAGCUCGCAUCGAUUAAGUCCCUGCCCUUUGUACACACCGCCCGUCGCUACUACCGAUUGAACGUUUUAGUGAGGCAUUUGGACCGACGCAUCCCAGUUUAACCGCUGGUUUGUGUUGGAAAGACUUCCAAACUUGAGCGUUUAGAGGAAGUAAAAGUCGUAACA
This 324-nucleotide ribosomal RNA is filed under the name uncultured eukaryote. RNAcentral describes it as "partial 18S ribosomal RNA". It matches the Rfam family "Eukaryotic small subunit ribosomal RNA", at positions 1470 to 1796 of the family's 1831-position model. The record is from RNAcentral.